GGCCUGGUGGUGUAACGGUGACGCCUCUGCUCUUGGUUCAAUGUGUCCGCAUCUGACUUUCAGCAGAGGUUCCUUGUUCGACUCAAGGUCAGGCCC
Non-coding RNA from Mycena latifolia, 96 nucleotides. Lineage: Eukaryota; Fungi; Basidiomycota; Agaricomycetes; Agaricales; Mycenaceae. The record is from the annotation of a GenBank genome assembly.